Molecule: ribosomal RNA, 1346 nt
Filed under: uncultured bacterium
Lineage: Bacteria
Description: partial 16S ribosomal RNA
Rfam family: Bacterial small subunit ribosomal RNA
Source: RNAcentral
GACGAACGCUGGCGGCGUGCUUAACACAUGCAAGUCGAACGGAAAGGCCCUGCUUUUGUGGGGUGCUCGAGUGGCGAACGGGUGAGUAACACGUGAGUAACCUGCCCUUGACUUUGGGAUAACUUCAGGAAACUGGGGCUAAUACCGGAUAGGAGCUCCUGCUGCAUGGUGGGGGUUGGAAAGUUUCGGCGGUUGGGGAUGGACUCGCGGCUUAUCAGCUUGUUGGUGGGGUAGUGGCUUACCAAGGCUUUGACGGGUAGCCGGCCUGAGAGGGUGACCGGCCACAUUGGGACUGAGAUACGGCCCGGACUCCUACGGGAGGCAGCAGUGGGGAAUAUUGCACAAUGGGCGGAAGCCUGAUGCAGCAACGCCGCGUGCGGGAUGACGGCCUUCGGGUUGUAAACCGCUUUCGCCUGUGACGAAGCGUGAGUGACGGUAAUGGGUAAAGAAGCACCGGCUAACUACGUGCCAGCAGCCGCGGUGAUACGUAGGGUGCGAGCGUUGUCCGGAUUUAUUGGGCGUAAAGGGCUCGUAGGUGGUUGAUCGCGUCGGAAGUGUAAUCUUGGGGCUUAACCCUGAGCGUGCUUUCGAUACGGGUUGACUUGAGGAAGGUAGGGGAGAAUGGAAUUCCUGGUGGAGCGGUGGAAUGCGCAGAUAUCAGGAGGAACACCAGUGGCGAAGGCGGUUCUCUGGGCCUUUCCUGACGCUGAGGAGCGAAAGCGUGGGGAGCGAACAGGCUUAGAUACCCUGGUAGUCCACGCUGUAAACGGUGGGUACUAGGUGUGGGGUCCAUUCCACGGGUUCCGUGCCGUAGCUAACGCUUUAAGUACCCCGCCUGGGGAGUACGGCCGCAAGGCUAAAACUCAAAGGAAUUGACGGGGCCCCGCACAAGCGGCGGAGCAUGCGGAUUAAUUCGAUGCAACGCGUAGAACCUUACCUGGGUUUGACAUGGAUCGGGAGUGCUCAGAGAUGGGUGUGCCUCUUUUGGGGUCGGUUCACAGGUGGUGCAUGGCUGUCGUCAGCUCGUGUCGUGAGAUGUUGGGUUAAGUCCCGCAACGGGCGCAACCCUUGUUCACUGUUGCCAGCACGUUAUGGUGGGGACUCAGUGGAGACCGCCGGGGUCAACUCGGAGGAAGGUGGGGAUGACGUCAAGUCAUCAUGCCCCUUAUGUCCAGGGCUUCACGCAUGCUACAAUGGCUGGUACAGAGAGUGGCGAGCCUGUGAGGGUGAGCGAAUCUCGGAAAGCCGGUCUCAGUUCGGAUUGGGGUCUGCAACUCGACCUCAUGAAGUCGGAGUCGCUAGUAAUCGCAGAUCAGCAACGCUGCGGUGAAUACGUUCCCGGGGCU